RNAcentral lists this small nucleolar RNA (113 nucleotides) under Ochotona princeps (American pika). RNAcentral's name for it is "Small nucleolar RNA SNORA74 (ENSOPRG00000023112.1)". Lineage: Eukaryota; Metazoa; Chordata; Mammalia; Lagomorpha; Ochotonidae. The record is from RNAcentral.
CACAGCUGUAGACAACUGCCUAGGGUGCCUUGUACCUAGGCAAGUGUUACUCUGCUGGGAGAAAAGCAGCCAGUAGCUGAUGGGCAUUCUGGGUCUCAUUAAUGCCAAAUCUG